UGGGGAAUAUUGCGCAAUGGGCGAAAGCCUGACGCAGCGACGCCGCGUGAGGGAUGAAGGCCUUCGGGUUGUAAACCUCUUUCAGCAGGGGAAGAAGCGAGAGUGACGGUACCUGCAGAAGAAGCACCGGCUAACUACGUGCCAGCAGCCGCGGUAAUACGUAGGGUGCAAGCGUUGUCCGGAAUUAUUGGGCGUAAAGAGCUCGUAGGCGGUUUGUCGCGUCUGCUGUGAAAACUCGGGCUCAACUCCGAGCUUGCAGUGGGUACGGGCAGACUAGAGUGCGGUAGGGGAGACUGGAAUUCCUGGUGUAGCGGUGAAAUGCGCAGAUAUCAGGAGGAACACCGGUGGCGAAGGCGGGUCUCUGGGCCGUAACUGACGCUGAGGAGCGAAAGCAUGGGGAGCGAACAGGAUUAGAUAGCCCUGGUAGUCCAUGCCGUAAACGUUGGGCGCUAGGUGUGGGGCUCUUUCCACGAGUUCUGUGCCGCAGCUAACGCAUUAAGCGCCCCGCCUGGGGAGUACGGCCGCAAGGCUAAAAC
RNAcentral lists this ribosomal RNA (536 nucleotides) under uncultured bacterium. Its description in RNAcentral is "partial 16S ribosomal RNA". It matches the Rfam family "Bacterial small subunit ribosomal RNA", at positions 355 to 900 of the family's 1533-position model. The record is from RNAcentral.